Long non-coding RNA from Ostrinia nubilalis (European corn borer), 1307 nucleotides. RefSeq lists it as uncharacterized. The record is from RefSeq and is a predicted model, not a curated record. Lineage: Eukaryota; Metazoa; Arthropoda; Insecta; Lepidoptera; Crambidae. The transcript has 2 exons.
ACAUUGUCAGAAAUCGCCUAAAAAACCGCCCAAAAACAUGAACCCAUCAUAAUUAUUUUCUAAUUUUUUUAAUACAUUAAGCACCCUUUCAUUCUAAUGGACACUUAAGCAUUGAAAAAUUAAAUAAAUAAGUCUUUUAACGUUUAUUCUAUAAUACUAUUACAACUUCCGGACGUUUUGGUGCUUGGCAUGGUCUAAAACCUAUCAAGUUUCAUAAUUUUUGCCGAUAAAAUCUGUACGAGGCUUUACCGUACUUUAUUGCUGGGAGUCCAUGUAUAGUGAUGUUCCUGCGGCCAUCAUAGACAAUAAAAUAUCGAUUUUGAAAAAAAAAAUAAAUCGAUUAAAUUGCUUUGAAGACUAGAUUUGCGUUAAAAGCUAAAAAGAUAUUGACACUAUUACAAGAAGUUAUUUAAAGUGUCCAACUGGUCGAAGGUCGUAAAUAAAAUAAAAAUAAUUAGGACCAUAAACUGAUAUUCAUGAUAUCAUAACUGUAAAAGUGUCAGAAUCCGAUGUUGAAUCCAAUGCCAGUUGAAGUGAGAGAAACAUACCUAUAUCAACCUAGUAUAGUUGCCAGUCUCUCAUAAUCUAUGCCAAUGAGGGUUUUCGCGAUUGAAAAAUCCAAUCAUGCAGCAUUUGGACCUCGCGUCUACGUAUUGCCAUCUCGCGGAUUUUUCAAUCGCGAAAACCCUCAUUCAUAGCACAUGUAUAAUAAUAGACCAAAUGAACUUUUAUAGAUUGUGAAAGAGAAGAUAAAGAUUUUAUUAUUUUAUUAAAAUCUUGCCACGAGGUAGUUUUUCAGUAGAAACCAGGAUUGGAUAAUGGCUACAGAAAGAAAACCAAUGUGGAGCCCUUAUUAUUCAUACUGUUUGAAAGUUACAAGUCAGUGAUACAGUUGCCACCAUUAUAACUCCGUGGUGAUACCAUACCAAAGAAGAAGUUUUCCUAAACACUUGUGUUAUUUUUAUAUGUGAUCAAAUAAAAAGGAUUAAUUCUACUGCUCAAAUGGAAUAACUUAUCCCAAGAGACCGAAUAUAAAAAAAAACCCCUCCAUAGAAAUUAUCACCAUCACGAGGAUGUGAAUUUUUUUGAGAAUUUGAUAAUGGUCCUGUAAGAAAAGUAGUUGUAUUUCAGUAGUAGAAUCAACCCUUCUUGUUUCAUUAGCAAGAGUAACUAUAAAAACGCCCUGUAGGUAGGUAUUAUUAAGCUGAAGAGUUUGUUUAGUGUCAAAGACUGUCACACAGUGUAACUUAAAUUGGCAUUUAUUAUGAUAAUGAACAUAAAAACUUAAAUAAAUAUUUAUGUUAAUA